GGAUAGUCGGGGGCAUCAGUAUUCAAUUGUCAGAGGUGAAAUUCUUGGAUUUAUUGAAGACUAACUACUGCGAAAGCAUUUGCCAAGGAUGUUUUCAUUAAUCAGUGAACGAAAGUUAGGGGAUCGAAGACGAUCAGAUACCGUCGUAGUCUUAACCAUAAACUAUGCCGACUAGGGAUCGGGCGGUGUUUAAUUUAUGACCCGCUCGGCACCUUACGAGAAAUCAAAGUUUUUGGGUUCUGGGGGGAGUAUGGUCGCAAGGCUGAAACUUAAAGGAAUUGACGGAAGGGCACCACCAGGAGUGGAGCCUGCGGCUUAAUUUGACUCAACACGGGGAAACUCACCAGGUCCAGACACAUUAAGGAUUGACAGAUUGAGAGCUCUUUCUUGAUUAUGUGGGUGGUGGUGCAUGGCCGUUCUUAGUUGGUGGAGUGAUUUGUCUGCUUAAUUGCGAUAACGAACGAGACCUUAACCUGCUAAAUAGCCAGGCGAGCUUUCGCUCGUCGCCGGCUUCUUAGAGGGACUAUCGGCUCAAGCCGAUGGAAGUUUGAGGCAAUAACAGGUCUGUGAUGCCCUUAGAUGUUCUGGGCCGCACGCGCGCUACACUGACGGGGCCAACGAGUACCAUCCUUGGCCGAAAGGUCUGGGUAAUCUUGUUAAACCCCGUCGUGCUGGGGAUAGGGCAUUGCAAUUAUUGCCCUUCAACGAGGAAUUCCUAGUAAGCGCAAGUCAUCAGCUUGCGUUGAUUACGUCCCUGCCCUUUGUACACACCGCCCGUCGCUACUAC
Molecule: ribosomal RNA, 787 nt
Filed under: uncultured eukaryote
Lineage: Eukaryota
Description: SSU rRNA
Rfam family: Eukaryotic small subunit ribosomal RNA
Source: RNAcentral